Molecule: ribosomal RNA, 338 nt
Filed under: uncultured bacterium
Lineage: Bacteria
Description: bacterial SSU rRNA
Rfam family: Bacterial small subunit ribosomal RNA
Source: RNAcentral
UAUACUGGGGAAUAAUCACUGGAAACGGUGACUAAUACCGCAUGUCAUUACGGAAGGGCAUCCUUCUGUAAGAAAAGGAGUAAUUCGGUAUAGGAUGGGCCCGCAUCUGAUUAGCUAGUUGGUGAGAUAACAGCCCACCAAGGCGACGAUCAGUAGCCGACCUGAGAGGGUGAUCGGCCACAUUGGGACUGAGACACGGCCCAAACUCCUACGGGAGGCAGCAGUGGGGAAUAUUGCACAAUGGGGGAAACCCUGAUGCAGCAACGCCGCGUGAAGGAAGAAGGUUUUCGGAUCGUAAACUUCUAUCAACAGGGACGAAGAAAGUGACGGUACCUGAA